This is a non-coding RNA of Monodelphis domestica (gray short-tailed opossum), 6510 nucleotides long. The record is from RefSeq and is a predicted model, not a curated record. NCBI's taxonomy places the organism in Eukaryota, Metazoa, Chordata, Mammalia, Didelphimorphia, Didelphidae.
ACUCAUUUUUCUGGGCUUCUUGGCUGAUGGUGGUAACUUUGAAGGAAGAAGCUGGGUUUAUCUCUGGGACUUGGGGUAAUCAAGUUGGAGGUGGCCCUGGCUGAUUUGAAGGCAGAAGAAGAAGGACAAUAGUCCAUAUCUCUCUGACUUGCUCUGUUUCAUGUAACACAUGUCCUGGUGGAAACAAAGCAGGGUUUGUUCGGGUAAUGUCUGCCUCUGGAAUUCGGAAGCCUCAGCAUCACGUCCCUGGGCAACGGGGUUAGACGAAAACUGUAAAAACCCACCCUCCAUUUGAAAGGAUCUGUUGGUGUUGCCAGCAAGCUCGUGUGCUGACAACAUUCCAGGAAUGGGUGAUUAUAUGUGACCUUAAUAGAUAUGACGGCUGUAAAAGGCAUGUCUCUGUAUCUAUUCCUUCCUUGAUUCUCACAUUUCAUCUAGUGUGAGGUAAGUCUGGGAGAGCCAGACUAUUUGACUAUUUGAACUGUAUUUUCCCUGGCUAACUCUCCUCCUUAAUUUCCUCCCAUCAUCCCAACAUUUAUUAACAUGAUAUAAUGUGGUGAAAUACUUGAAGGAAUGAAGUCAAAGAAAUGAAAUCAACUUCCAUGGAUUGCUGAGUGAGGGGAAGACUCAGUCAUCCAAGAAGCUCAAUUAUUUUUUGCCCUUUUCCCAUACCCAGAAGACAUUUUGUUUCCUUCUUCAUUUUAACAUCUUAUACAUCUUUUAUGAUUUCCUAAAUAUAGAUAUGUUACAACCUCAAUGGAGAGAUCAUCUGUUGAAGCUCCAGGGAUAUGCACACAAUGUGCCCAGCAGGCAAAUCGCAAAACAAAACAGAGUAUGCUCAGCACUUUUCCUAUGGCUCCACAAAGGAACCAAAAUAAGACUCCUGGAAACAUGGGUUGAGUAAUCAAGUCCUUUUUCUAGAUGUACAACAGAACAGUUUAGGGAAGAUAAUAUAUUCAGCUCAUUCCAUUGAACAGUCAUUUAGAAGAGGAAAAAGAAGCAUUGGAGCAAAGAAAGAAAAGAAUAUGACCUCUUUUUGCACCUGCAAUGACUUGUAAGCAUCACAUCUCACUCCCAGGCUUGUCCUGAGUUCUCAGGGCUCGAGGAAAUGAUUCUUGCCCCUAGAAUUCACUAAUUGUGAAUGGAAUUUUUUUCCAGGCAGGAAGGGACAGUGAGGGGCUGGUGGGUAGGUUGGUUGGUUGGUUGGUUGGUUGGUUUGGAAAAGAUUCCUUUAGGCAAGAGUUGCAACAAGCACUCUUGGUCCCUGGUGCAAAUGUCACAAAAUACACUCAUGCAAACAAUAGUACCUUUGAAUCAACUUCUUGACACAAACUUAUAGGAGAAGGUGAUGAGACCCCAUAGCACAGAGCCCUGUAGGAAGAAAUGACCCUGGGACACCAGCUCUCCUGAGUGGGAAUUUCACUGUUCCAGAGUACACUAGGAGUGGGGGUAGAAGAGGUUGAGGCAGGGAAAAGAACUGAAGGAGAGAGGGAGUGAGGGUGUGGCCUAGCUGUGGUAUCUUCCAAUUUUUAGCUAAUUCAUUUUGCUAACUAGGGUCUAAAGUCAAUUGUUUCUACACCCACAGUGUUGUGAGGCUCAGAUGAAAUAAUGGAUGUACAGUUCUUUGCAAACUUAAAGCACUAAAGAAAUAUCAGUUAUUAUUAUUAUUAUUGCUAUCCUCCAGUUACCAAGCUGAUAGUCUGGUGAUAAUUUCAUUUCCUGAGCCUUCCUAUUGCAAUCUUGCUGAGUUUAAGCGUUGUUUACAGAGUAAUUCAAGGGUGUGCUAGUAAAUGUUUAACAAUCAGGCUUUCACAAGUGCAUACAAUAUACUUUAAAGCAUAUUCUGCAUUCACUGAGUCCUUAAGUCUAGAUAAUCAACAAAACAAUAAACUCCUGAUUUGUAACUACUUCUUGAGGAGGUAUGAAUUCUCACUGAGAAAAUUUAACAAUUGGUUGUGGAAAGUAGAUGAGAGUAGGAGAAAGAGAAUCCAAAUAACAAAAUGUCAGAUGACAAUUAUUUUAGAUUAUUUCUACAUGUAAUUAAAAACAAAUUUAAAAGGAAACAUCAGAAAACUAGAUAUUAAUCAUACAUGUACAUAUUUAUUUUCUUUUUAGUUUUGAAAUCCUAUGAAAUACAAAGAUAUGAAAUACCAUUUUCAAUUGCUUGUGAUAUCAAAAGAUAAUUAAAAUUGAUCUAUAACUGAAAAAAAAGUAGAAUAGAACUAUUUCCAGUAGACCCUUGACUUUAAUAAGUUCCCUUUCAAUUUCAGUGUCCUGGGAGAAGAACCCAGUUACCCCACCCUUAUUAUGGUUCUAUGGAGACACUGAUCUUAGAUAUUCUUACCUAUCAGUUUGAGAUUUCUGGCCACAGUGAAGCCUCACUAGGCAGGGACUUCUGAGAAUUAUUUGAUUAUUUUGGUGAAAUUUAUUCUUGUUACCAUGGAAAAGUGGAUAGAUAGCUGGUCUCAGGACCAGAGAGACCGGAAUUCAAGACCUAGCACUGAAAUAUACUGACUGUGGGACUGACCGCAUACAAAGCCUUUUUACUGUUUUAGGUAUACAUAAGGCCAGGGCUCCCUUGAGUAAAACUAAUAAAUCAUUCCCCACCAUUUAAAGUAUCAAAAUGGUAUCUGAAGAAACAGACUGAUAUCAUGAGAAUUUGCCCUCCAGAUGACCCCCUAAUGGAUCCCUUAUCCCAAGAACUAAGACUGACAUGUCCUUAUUUAUGUAGUACCAUAAGGAUAUGUUAUAUCAGAACUUCAGGUUUCACUGACUUGACCUAGGUCACCAUGACCAUAUGUUAAAGAGAAACAUCUGGGUAGCAGAGACUAAGAUUGAUGUGUCUUCCCUUUUGGCACCUGGGUUUUAGGACAAACCCCUAUCCCUAUCCCCUCUAUAUAAGCCAGGUCUAGGAAAGGUUCAGGGUCUUCCACUUCUCGUUGAGGACCAAGCUAUAGCUUGAAUAAAGUACCUCUUGUGUAUUGCAUUACCAUGUGUGUCUCCUCCUUGAAUCAGAACCAGAACCGGACAGAACAUUUGGGGGCUCAUCCAGGAAUCCAAAGGUUUGGAUCACACAGUGGUAAAGGUACUUGAAUCUCUGAAGGGAACUCUGAGUGUUUGUUUGUGUGAAUGUGUAUGGGGGAGGGAGAGUCUGGAUUGUGGCAUAUGGCUAAGUGUCUAACCACUGGUCACCAGCCCAGGGUUUAUUUGGGAUGGCCUAUUGCCAAGUUGCAUCCAUUGAGGUCCCCUUUCACCUGUUUCUGAGUGAGAACCUGCCAAGUACUCGGUUCCUGAGUCCCAUGAGGGGCCAGGUCAGAACGGCCAGGAAGUAGAAGUGUUGUUUUGAGAGAUUUCCCUUCUAGAGGAUUUGUUAAGAGAGUUCAGUAGGAACUCCGGGGUGGCUAGAGGCCCCCCGCCCAAGAUGGACUUGGGACAGGAACUUUGGGGUGGUUAGAGGCCCCCUGCCCAAGUUGGAUGUGGGACAGGAAUUGGGUCCCUGCAACAGAAGUUCAAGUCUUCAGAGGACCCAAUGCGUCCUAAGGAGCACCGUUGGAUGGGGCUGACUCCUUAUGACCUGUCUGCCAAUCAGGGGAAGCAGUGACUGGACUUCCUUCAGAUCUCCAAGCAGGUCCACCUACCUAGGACCCAGGCAUUCACUGAGGACACGCCCCCUAAAGACCUUGUGUCCACAGCCUUUCCCUCCCUGUUCAAGUUUUGGCUACUCCCCUGUGGGAGAUGUGAACUUUGCAUUUGUAACCUUGUUACUUCUCUAGUUGCUUCUAGGGUAAAAGCACUCAGAGGAGUCACCCAGAUGUCACUGUAACCUCAGCAACUAUACCAGCCUGAAGCCCUGGACAUUGCCUAUAGCCAAUACCUCUCUCCUAACAAUAGGCAGGAAUAGCUCUACAGUCAUUCUCAGCUCUGAAGAAGCUAUAGAAGUCUGAGACCAUCGCCCCUUUCCCCUUAGAUAUUUAGAGAGGGGGAGAUGACAUGGGCAUUGUACCCCCAGAAACUCGGGCAAACUAUUAUCAGGGAAAUUCUUCUGCUCCCUUGCAUCCUCAUGACUCCUAGCCUAAGGAUUCUUUGCUUUUAUGCUGAUCAUACAAGGCUAGUUAAUCACCUAGUAGCCUUGUCAAGGAUCACAUUAAUACUGUCUAGCUAUGGUCCUUCACCAGCAAUAUCAAAUUCUGACUCCUAUUGAGAUCCCUUAUGAGGACAUGGUUGCAUGAGGAAGAUUCCUCAUGUACAGUUAAAGAAGUGGGGAAUGAAGAAACAGACUGAUAUCACGAGCACUUGCCCUCCAGAUGACCCCCUAAUGGAUCCCUUAUCCCAAGAACUAAGACUGACAUGUCCUUAUUUAUGUAGUACCAUAAGGAUAUGUUAUCUCAGAACUUCAGGUUUCACUGACCUGACCUAGGUCACCAUGACCAUAUGUUAAAGAGAAACAUCUGGGUAGCAGAGACUAAGAUUGAUGUGUCUUCCCUUUUGGCGCCUGGGUCUUAGGACAAACCCCUAUCCCUAUCCCCUCUAUAUAAGCCAGGUCUAGGAAAGGCUCAGGGUCUUCCACUUCUCGUUGAGGACCAAGCUAUAGCUUGAAUAAAGUACCUCUUGUGUAUUGCAUUACCAUGUGUGUCUCCUCCUUGGAAUCAGAACCAGAACUGGACAAAUCAACCUUAACUAGUAGAGAACUCUUUUCUACUAAUCAAUCAUAGACUUAAGACUGGUAUAAAAAAAAAAGCUAACUGUAGUGAUGUCAGUGUUAGGCAGUAUGCUAAUCAACUUGAAAAAACAAAGAAUCACCAAAACAGUUACAAAAGAGCACAUCUGUAAUCAAGACAAGGGAGCUAAUGCUUUUAUGGCCACCAUACAAAGUCAGCACACACACAACACAACAAAGUCAAACUUUGAGACUUGGGGAACAAUGAGUACACCACAAAUGGGAAUUUCCCUGAACCAAAGAUUUCAGGUUCUAUUUAUUAACUGAGGGAAUAUACCCCAAGAGGAAACAACUGAUUGAUUUCAUAGGGCCUUGGGAAAGAGGCUAUAGUCUGAGGCUAGGGUAUCUGGGAGAAGCCUAAACAUAAUAAGAGAAACUUAGAAACCAAAAAAAAAAAAGGGGGUACUUAAGAGUUGACUACCUCUACUACUCCUCUUCUGGGUACUCAAUGGGUGCUUGAUAGUCUAUUGCUCAGUCUGGGAGUUGUCCCCUGGGACAAUGAAAAAUUUGGGGUUUUAUAAAACAAAGUUGUCACAAAGAAGGGCAAAAGAUAGCCCUUGCUCUCAGAGUUCACAGUUUAAUGAGGGAGACAACAUGGAAACAACUAUGUAUAAUAUAUACCAGAUAAAUUGGAGAUACUCAACAAAAGAAGGCACUAGAAUUAAGGGGAAUUGGGAAAGAUUUCUUGUAGAAGAUGGGAUUGUAGAUGGGACUUGAAAGAUAUCCUGGAAGCCAGGUAGCAGAGAUGAAGAGUGAAAGAAUUCCAGUCAUGGGCAACAUCCAUUGAAAAUGCCCAGAACUGGGAAAUUCAGUAUCUUGUUAUAUAAUAGCAAGAAGGACUGUGUUACUAUAUCAAGAUAAAUUCAAAAUGGGUAAAUGACUUCAAUAUAAGGAGUGAAAUCAUAAAUAAAUUUGGUGAACAUAGAAUAGUAUGCCUGUCAGAUCUGUGGGAAAGGAAGGCAUUUAAGACCAAGCAAGAGAAAUGGAACAUUGCAAAAUAUAAAAUAAAUGGCUUUGAUUAUAUUGAAUUAAAAAGGUUUUGUACAAACAAAACCAAUGCAACCAAAAUUAGAAGGAAAGCAACAAACUGGGAGAAUAUUUUUAUAACAAAACUCUGACAAAGGCUUAAUUUCCCCAAUACAUAAGGAAUUAAGUAAAAAAAAAUUGGAAAAUGAGGAGGUGUCCAUUGAUUGGGGAAUGGCUGAACAAAUUGUGGUAUCUGGUGGUGAUGGAAUACUAUUGUGCUGAAAGGAAUAAGGAACUGGAGGAAUUCAUGUGAACUGGAAAGACCUCCAGGAAUUGAUGCAGAGCAAAAGGAGCAGGACCAGGAGAACAUUGUAUACAGAAAGUGAUACUUUGUGGGACAAUCAAAUGUAAUGGACUUUUCUACUAGCAGCAGUGCUAUGAUCCAGGACAAUCCAGAGGAACGUGUGAGAAAGAAUGCUAUCCACAUCCAGAGAAAGAACUGUGGGAGCAGAAACACAGAAGAAAAACAUAUGAUUAGUCAUGUAGUUCAAUAUGAAUAUGAUUAGGGUUUUGAUGUUAAGAGAUCACUCUACUGCAAAUACAAAUAGCAUGGAAAUAGGUUUUGAACAAAGAUACAUGUAUAACCCAGUGGAAUUUCUUGUCAACUCUGGGAGGGGGGAGAAAGGCAGAAAGAAUCAAGAAUCAUGUAACCAUGGAAAAAAUAGAAAGAAAGAAAGAAAGAAAGAAAGAAAGAAAGAAAGAAAGAAAGAAAGAAAGAAAGAAAGAAAGAAAGAAAGAAAGAAAGAAAGAAAGAAAGGAAGGAAGGA